CGCGGGCGGGUUGCUUAGUAGUCUAAUUCCUCAAUAUCUACGCCUCUUGAUGUGAAUUAGUGACCCUUGAACCGGCUCUAAUUCAUGCCAAGUGAGUCCCUACGGCCCUUGAACCGGAGUAGGAAUACCAUGAAAGGGAAUUUCGGUCCUUGAGCCUUGAACCGCCUUGAAUACGACUACCGCCAAAAUAGGAAAUAUGCAUCUAUAUUAGAUUAGCUUCCGACAUAUGAGAUUUGGGUGAAGGAACUUCCCUAACACCCGGCAUUCUCAUUUUUAUUGUUUACAUUUCACUUUUCUUUUUUUAUUGCUUUACAUUUCAUUAUUAUUUGUUAAGUUAGAAUCAACCCCCAAACACUAAACCCUUCCACUCAUUUGUGCAUAUCCAUCACUAGGCUCUUAGUUUUGAUUAGGCUUUAGUGAAAAUCAAAGCCGAGCAUUGCUAAGGCUUGGUGCCUUAGAUUAGUUUUAUUUUAUUUUAUUUGUUUGCUACGUGUCUUUAUUUCUAAUUAUCCAAGGAUUGUGGGUUAGCCACUAAUCCCCGUGGUACGAUAACUUUGGGCAUUAUACUUCCCUAUCUUGACAACGAUACGUACGCUUGCGUAAAUGUGUAUCAAGUCAAUGGCGCCGUUGCCGGGGAUCGAACCCGGG
RNAcentral lists this long non-coding RNA (648 nucleotides) under Rosa chinensis. RNAcentral describes it as "sRNA RchiOBHm_Chr6g0275531". The record is from RNAcentral. Lineage: Eukaryota; Viridiplantae; Streptophyta; Magnoliopsida; Rosales; Rosaceae.